UGGGAUAUAGCUCAGUGGUAGAGCACUUGCCUCCUAUUCACAAGGCCCUGGGUUCAGUCCCCAGUACCACAA
This 72-nucleotide transfer RNA is filed under the name Ictidomys tridecemlineatus (thirteen-lined ground squirrel). RNAcentral describes it as "Spermophilus tridecemlineatus (thirteen-lined ground squirrel) tRNA". It matches the Rfam family "tRNA". Rfam says of the family: Transfer RNA (tRNA) molecules are approximately 80 nucleotides in length. Their secondary structure includes four short double-helical elements and three loops (D, anti-codon, and T loops). Lineage: Eukaryota; Metazoa; Chordata; Mammalia; Rodentia; Sciuridae. The record is from Rfam by way of RNAcentral.